UACUGCUCCGCCGACAGAUCGGGUCCCA
RNAcentral lists this non-coding RNA (28 nucleotides) under Bombyx mori (domestic silkworm). Lineage: Eukaryota; Metazoa; Arthropoda; Insecta; Lepidoptera; Bombycidae. The record is from RNAcentral.